UCGAACGCUUCUUUCCUCCCGAGUGCUUGCACUCAAUUGGAAAGAGGAGUGGCGGACGGGUGAGUAACACGUGGGUAACCUACCCAUCAGAGGGGGAUAACACUUGGAAACAGGUGCUAAUACCGCAUAACAGUUUAUGCCGCAUGGCAUAAGAGUGAAAGGCGCUUUCGGGUGUCGCUGAUGGAUGGACCCGCGGUGCAUUAGCUAGUUGGUGAGGUAACGGCUCACCAAGGCCACGAUGCAUAGCCGACCUGAGAGGGUGAUCGGCCACACUGGGACUGAGACACGGCCCAGACUCCUACGGGAGGCAGCAGUAGGGAAUCUUCGGCAAUGGACGAAAGUCUGACCGAGCAACGCCGCGUGAGUGAAGAAGGUUUUCGGAUCGUAAAACUCUGUUGUUAGAGAAGAACAAGGACGUUAGUAACUGAACGUCCCCUGACGGUAUCUAACCAGAAAGCCACGGCUAACUACGUGCCAGCCAGCCGCGGA
Molecule: ribosomal RNA, 489 nt
Filed under: Enterococcus faecalis
Lineage: Bacteria; Bacillati; Bacillota; Bacilli; Lactobacillales; Enterococcaceae
Description: bacterial SSU rRNA
Rfam family: Bacterial small subunit ribosomal RNA
Source: RNAcentral